Molecule: ribosomal RNA, 253 nt
Filed under: uncultured bacterium
Lineage: Bacteria
Description: partial 16S ribosomal RNA
Rfam family: Bacterial small subunit ribosomal RNA
Source: RNAcentral
UACGUAGGGGGCUAGCGUUGUCCGGAAUCAUUGGGCGUAAAGCGCGUGUAGGCGGUCCGGUAAGUCCGCUGUGAAAGUCGGGGGCUCAACCCUCGAAUGCCGGUGGAUACUGUCGGGCUAGAGUGCGGAAGAGGCGAGUGGAAUUCCUGGUGUAGCAGUGAAAUGCGUAGAUAUCAGGAGGAACACCGAUGGCGAAGGCAGCCUUCUGGGCCAACACUGACGCUCAUGCACGAAAGCGUGGGGAGCAAACAGG